UGGUUCUUUAAAAGAUGUCAUUUGUAUGCAUUCCCCAUAGGGUCCUAUGUUAAACUAAGUCCCCCCGCUGGCGGCCAUCUUGGAAGAUGGAUCAGCUACAAAGUAACAACACUUGGUCAGCACCUCAUAAGGAACAUUUCAGCCAUAUUUGGUUUCAUUCCAUUCAGUGGUUCUCUAAAAGAUGUCAUUUGUAUGCAUUUCCCAUAGGGUCCUAUGUUAAACUAAGUCCCCUCGCUGGCGGCCAUCUUGGAUGAUGGAUCAGCUACAAAGUAACAACACUUGGUCAGCACCUCAUAAGGAACAUUCAUGCCAUGUUUGGUUUCAUUCCAUUCAGUGGUUCUCUAAAAGAUGUCAUUUGUAUGCAUUUCCCUUAGGGU
Molecule: long non-coding RNA, 377 nt
Filed under: Mytilus galloprovincialis (Mediterranean mussel)
Lineage: Eukaryota; Metazoa; Mollusca; Bivalvia; Mytilida; Mytilidae
Source: RNAcentral